Molecule: signal recognition particle RNA, 298 nt
Filed under: Aotus nancymaae (Ma's night monkey)
Lineage: Eukaryota; Metazoa; Chordata; Mammalia; Primates; Aotidae
Description: Metazoan signal recognition particle RNA (ENSANAG00000009850.1)
Rfam family: Metazoan signal recognition particle RNA
About the family: The signal recognition particle (SRP) is a universally conserved ribonucleoprotein.
Source: RNAcentral
GCCAGGCAGGUGGCGCAUGCCUGUAGUUCCAGCUACUCAGGGGGCUGAGGUGGGAGGAUCGCUUGAGCCCAGGAGUUCUGGGCUGUAGUGCGCUAUGCUGAUCAGGUGUCCGCACUAAGUUCAGCAUCAAUAUGGUGACCUCCCGGGAGCGGGGGACCACCAGGUUGCCUAAGGAGGAGUGAACCGGCCCACGUCGGAAACGAAGCAGGUUAAAACUCCCGUGCUGAUCAGUAGUGGGAUCGCGCCUGUGAAUGGCCACUGCACUCCAGCCUGGGCAACACAGUGAGACCUCAACUCU